GACGAACGCUGGCGGCGUGCUUACCACAUGCAAGUCGAACGGAAAGGCCCUGCUCUUGUGGGGUGCUCGAGUGGCGAACGGGUGAGUAACACGUGAGUAACCUGCCCUUGACUUUGGGAUAACUUCAGGAAACUGGGGCUAAUACCGGAUAGGCGCUCCUGCUGCAUGGUGGGGGUUGGAAAGUUUCGGCGGUUGGGGAUGGACUCGCGGCUUAUCAGCUUGUUGGUGGGGUAGUGGCUUACCAAGGCUUUGACGGGUAGCCGGCCUGAGAGGGUGACCGGCCACAUUGGGACUGAGAUAAGGCACAGACUCCGACGGGAGGCAGCAGUGGGGAAUGUUGCACAAUGGGCGGAAGUCUGAUGCAGCAACGCCGCGUGCGGGAUGACGGCCUUCGGGGUGUAAACCGCUUUCGCCUGUGACGAAGCGUGAGUGACGGUAAUGGUUAAAGAAGCACCGGCUAAGUACGUG
RNAcentral lists this ribosomal RNA (468 nucleotides) under uncultured bacterium. RNAcentral's name for it is "partial 16S ribosomal RNA". It matches the Rfam family "Bacterial small subunit ribosomal RNA", at positions 28 to 507 of the family's 1533-position model. The record is from RNAcentral.